This 394-nucleotide unclassified non-coding RNA is filed under the name soil metagenome. Its description in RNAcentral is "partial contains 5.8S ribosomal RNA, internal transcribed spacer 2, and large subunit ribosomal RNA". The stretch from base 1 to 122 matches the Rfam family "5.8S ribosomal RNA", at positions 35 to 154 of the family's 154-position model. The record is from RNAcentral.
GAUGAAGAACGCAGCGAAAUGCGAUACUUGGUGUGAAUUGCAGAAUCCCGUGAACCAUCGAGUCUUUGAACGCAAGUUGCGCCCGAAGCCACUAGGCCGAGGGCACGCCUGCCUGGGCGUCACACGUCGUUGCCCCCCCCCCAUCUACUCCUUCGGGAUUGCGGGGGGUGGAUGAUGGCCUCCCGUGCGCCUCGCCGCGCGGUUGGCAUAAAUGCCAAGUCCUCGGCGACGCACGCCACGACAAUCGGUGGUUGCGAAACCUCGGUUGCCCGUCGUGUGCGGUCGUCGCGCAUCGAGGGCUCGAAAAAAUUGCCGGGUUCCGGCUCGGCUUUCAACGCGACCCCAGGUCAGGCGGGGUUACCCGCUGAAUUUAAGCAUAUCAAUAAGCGGAGGA